AGAAACUUAGGAUAUAUUAAACCGGGGGCCUUCAAAGCUCCAAAUAGAGACUACUCUCUAGUUUCUG
This 67-nucleotide transfer RNA is filed under the name Enyalius leechii. RNAcentral's name for it is "tRNA-Trp". The record is from RNAcentral. Lineage: Eukaryota; Metazoa; Chordata; Lepidosauria; Squamata; Leiosauridae.